RNAcentral lists this ribosomal RNA (727 nucleotides) under uncultured Pseudomonadota bacterium. RNAcentral describes it as "bacterial SSU rRNA". It matches the Rfam family "Bacterial small subunit ribosomal RNA", at positions 75 to 776 of the family's 1533-position model. The record is from RNAcentral. Lineage: Bacteria; Pseudomonadati; Pseudomonadota.
CUCCUUCGGGAGGCGAGUAAAGCGGCGCACGGGUGAGUAACACGUGGGUAACCUGCCCUUGAGACUGGGACAACCCAGGGAAACCCGGGCUAAUACCAGGUACGGCUUCGGGAUCUUCGGAUCCUUUGGAGAAAGGAUGGCCUAUGCUUGCAAGCCAUCGCUCGAGGAUGGGCCCGCGGCCCAUUAGCUAGUUGGUGAGGUAAAGGCUCACCAAGGCAAUGAUGGGUAGCUGGUCUGAGAGGAUGAUCAGCCACACUGGGACUGAGACACGGCCCAGACUCCUACGGGAGGCAGCAGUGGGGAAUUUUGGGCAAUGGGCGAAAGCCUGACCCAGCAACGCCGCGUGCAGGAUGAAGGCCCUCGGGUCGUAAACUGCUGUCGGGAGGGAAGAACAGCAGCGGAGGAAACACUUCCGUUGCCUGACGGUACCUCCAAAGGAAGCGCCGGCUAACUCCGUGCCAGCAGCCGCGGUAAUACGGAGGGCGCAAGCGUUGUUCGGAAUUACUGGGCGUAAAGCGCGUGUAGGCGGUCUGGUAAGUCGGUUGUGAAAUCCCCGGGCUCAACCCGGGAACUGCAUCCGAAACUGCUGGGCUAGAGUUCCGGAGAGGAAGGCAGAAUUCCCAAUGUAGGGGUGAAAUCCGUAGAUAUUGGGAGGAAUACCGGUGGCGAAGGCGGCCUUCUGGACGGUGACUGACGCUGAGACGCGAAAGCGUGGGGAGCAAACAGG